Molecule: long non-coding RNA, 1027 nt
Filed under: Sorghum bicolor (sorghum)
Lineage: Eukaryota; Viridiplantae; Streptophyta; Magnoliopsida; Poales; Poaceae
Description: long non-coding RNA (SBIC_LNC016561)
Source: RNAcentral
CAACUAAAUAUCAUUAGAUUCUUUCUUAAUUAUAUUUUCAUAGUAUACUCACUUUACUUUACAAAUCUUAGUAUUUCACUCUAUAAUUUUGGUCAAACGUGAAAAUACUUUGACUCUCCAAGAUUCUUGGAGUGACUUACAAUUUGGGAUGGAGGGAGUAUAAAUUUAUAAUAUUCACUAAAAUAAAUAGAAAAGAAAAAAAAGAAAGGGAUCCAAAAAUAAAUGUAUCAGUCACUAAAUUACAAGUAACUUUUGACACGCACCUGUAAAGAAGCAGCGACAAGGGCUAGAGGUCCGUUUUUGGUGCGAGAUUAACUGAACAGGAAGUGUGUCUAAAAAUAGCAUAUAUCGAUGCCAAACUGGGUGCAACAGUAGAAGGUCGCACUCAACUAUCCUAGAAGAUGCUCCGUAUGUUGCUGUGGAGAUUGUAAAAAAAUUAAAAUAAAAUUUAGAUAUGACAUUGAUAACUUGUACUAGGAGAUUAAAAGUUAGUGUCAUGACAUGUCUAUUAGUGAAAGAUAAUAUGGAUAGUUAGUGUAACAUGAUGCGAAUGUCUUGCAUGUUGAGAUAGAACUUGAGAUGAUGCUGAUAGCUUGCAUUAAAAGGAUGAAAGUUAGUGGCAUGACAUGGCUAUUAGUGAAAGAUGACGUGGAUGUAUUACAUGUCGAGAUAGAACUUGAGACGACGUGAAUAGUUUUCAUUGAGAGGUUGAAAGUUAGUGGUACGGCAACGUUGGAAAGUUAGUGGCAUGACAUGGCUACUAGUGGAAGAUGAUGUAGAUGUCUUGCAUGUUGAGAUAGAACUUCAGAUGACGUGGAUAACUUGUAUCAAGAGGUUGGAAGUUAGUGACAUGAUAUGGUUGUUAGUGGAAGAUGAUGUGGAUGUCUUGCAUAUUGAAAUAGAACUUAACAUGACGUGGAUAACUUGUAUUAAGAGGGUGGAAGUUAGUGGUAUGACAUAGCUAUCAGUGGAAGAUGAUGUGGAUGUCUUGUGUAAGGUUGGAAGUUAGUGGUAUGACAUGGCUAUU